UAGUCCACGCCGUAAACGAUGAGUGCUAACUCUGGGGAUUUCUCUGGGGUAAAGCUAACGCGUUAAGCACUCCGCCUGGGUAGUACGAUCGCAAGAUUAAAACUCAAAGGAAUUGACGGGGGCCCGUACAAGCGGUGGAGCAUGUGGUUUAAUUCGAUGAUAACCGAAGAACCUUACCCUCUCUUGACAUAUAUAUUGAGGUUACAUGAAAGUGGACCGUCAUUUAGUUGGAUAUAUACAGGUGUUGCAUGGCUGUCGUCAGCUCGUGUCGUGAGAUGUUGGGUUAAGUCCCGCAACGAGCGCAACCCUUGUCUUUAGUUGCCAUCAUUUAGUUGGGCACUCUAGAGAAACUGCCGGUGACAAACCGGAGGAAGGUAAGGAUGACGUCAAGUCAGCAUGCCCCUUACGCUCUGGGCUACACACGUGCUACAAUGGUCGUGACAAAGAGUUGCUAGUCUGCAAGGCAAGCCAAUCUCAUAAACGCGCCUUAGUUCGGAUUGCAGG
This 504-nucleotide ribosomal RNA is filed under the name uncultured bacterium. RNAcentral's name for it is "bacterial SSU rRNA". It matches the Rfam family "Bacterial small subunit ribosomal RNA", at positions 791 to 1304 of the family's 1533-position model. The record is from RNAcentral.